AUUUUGAAACCUUGCAAAAUUGUUUUACAAUAAAAAAAUAUAUAAAUAAAGUUUGUUUUCAAAUCUUUUCCAAACCAUCCCCUCGUCCUCUUCUUUGUUUAACAAAAUUCAGCAAGAAAAAGAAAAGAAGGAGCUACUCUAAAGAAGAGGAAAGAAGCCAGGGAACCAACAAUCAGACUGAGUGGCCUUGCUGGUCAUCUUCUAUCACGCAGGGCGCGUGACCACGACGUCCUCCGCGCUGCCGUGCGCUCCUCCUCCACCUCUCCUUUUUACCUGCUCCUUCUUAUCCCCAACCAGAGCCCCAAGUGAACCCUAGCAUCCUCCUCCCUUGGCGCCGCCAUCAUCUCCAACCAACCUCUGUCUUCUCUUCGACGACGGAGAAACUCCGUUAUAGGGACGGUAACACCGUCGCCCCAUCGUUUCCAGCCACCUCUCGCCAAGCUGAGGCCACCUCCAGCUCCGUCGUGCGACCCUGAUCCUCCCCGACACACACGCGCAGCGAAUCGAUCAAGGAGUCGUCGAGUUCUUCGUCUACAUCAUCUCCGACCGCCACGUUCCGGCGAAGUUUCCGGCCAUCUCCAACCUCCUCCCCAGUAUCUGAAACCACCAUAGUCUUCCUGCGCUGACCACAGGGACGGAUCCCCACGGUCUCAGCUUCCUCGUCGUCGAAUCCUUGAAGCAGGAGCAACUCCAGGACGCCUUUCCGUCCAACACGCCGUCGUGCUCGUUCCGGUCGCCGUCGCGAGUUCUUCUUCCUCUGCGUUGUCUGCGUCGUCCCCGAGCUCCACCGCUUCACAUGUGACCUCAUGCAUUUGCUUCUUCCCGGAUAGGAUCGUGAAGUGUUGAUAUGAGAUACGAC
Molecule: long non-coding RNA, 859 nt
Organism: Lolium rigidum
Lineage: Eukaryota; Viridiplantae; Streptophyta; Magnoliopsida; Poales; Poaceae
Exons: 3
Source: RefSeq, a predicted model, not a curated record